ACGGGGGGGGCAAGCGUUAUUCGGAAUUACUGGGCGUAAAGGGCGCGUAGGCGGCUAAAUUGGUCAGGUGUGAAAUCCCUCGGCUUACCCGAGGAACUGCGCUUGAUACCAUUUGGCUUGAGUACAGGAGAGGUGGGCGGAAUUCCAGGUGUAGCGGUGAAAUGCGUAGAUAUCUGGAAGAACACCGGUGGCGAAGGCGGCUCACUGGACUGUCACUGACGCUGAAGCGCGAAAGCGUGGGGAGCGAACGG
This 251-nucleotide ribosomal RNA is filed under the name uncultured prokaryote. RNAcentral's name for it is "partial 16S rRNA". It matches the Rfam family "Bacterial small subunit ribosomal RNA", at positions 525 to 775 of the family's 1533-position model. The record is from RNAcentral.